This 85-nucleotide transfer RNA is filed under the name Janthinobacterium lividum. RNAcentral describes it as "tRNA-Leu". It matches the Rfam family "tRNA". Rfam says of the family: Transfer RNA (tRNA) molecules are approximately 80 nucleotides in length. Lineage: Bacteria; Pseudomonadati; Pseudomonadota; Betaproteobacteria; Burkholderiales; Oxalobacteraceae. The record is from RNAcentral. RNAcentral also lists the same sequence under 31 other names.
GCGGAGGUGGCGAAAUUGGCAGACGCACUAGCUUGAGGUGCUAGCGCCGCAAGGCAUAGGGGUUCAAGUCCCCUCCUCCGCACCA